AAAAAGAAAAAAGAAAAGAAGAAAUCUAGUAGGGUGAGCAAAAUUUUCAAUUUUCUGAGCUUUUUUUGCUUUGGGAUUGUGCAUAUUUGUGUUUUCGUGGAAAGAAGGAUAUAGUUUUAAUUUUGAAUUUGGAUGUUAAAUUACCUGAUUUUAAGUGGAGAGAGACAGAUUAUUCUGCACAAGGAGAAUUUUACUUCUGCUUAAAGAGCAUUUAGUGGGAAGGGAAAACAUUAAAUAUACAUUAUCACAUUAAAAAUAUCACAAGUCACUUUUUACAGUCUUAUUUAAGAAAAUCUACGUGAGCCCAGCUUCUUGGAAGUAAACUGUUAUUGACAAUGCUUUGCAGAUGAAGAGAUGUUAAGAUUAGGUGUUUGCAUGGACUUUUACUUAUUUGGUAGACAAAAUGCUGCAUCUCACAAGCUUCACUUUUUGUUGUGUUUGGUCAAGUUGUCUUCAUCUUCCUCUUCUUCAUCAAGCUCUGAUUCUUCCAGCAGUGCAUCUGAUUCAGAAGAUGAGGAUAAAAAGCAGGUGAAGAAAAAAAAGAAAAAGAAACAUCGCUCCUCACGGAAAUCUUCAUCAAGCUCAGCUUCUGAAUCUGAGUCAGACAGCAAGGACAGCACAAAAAAGAAGAAGUCAAAGGAAGACCAUGAGAAAGAGAAGGAUGGCAAAAAUCAUCACAGAAAGAGGAAGAAAGUUGAUCGUGGUGAUGGGCCUUUAUCAUCAGAAUCCUUAUCAGAACCGGAUCAGACAGAGGAGGUUCAAGUGAAAAAGAAGAAGAGCAAUGAGGAAAAAGAGAAAACAACAGCAAGUAUCCCUUAUAGUCAUACCGUAGUUUUAGGGCAUCCAUAUCUUGUACUUGGUUAACUUAUAAUUUCACAGUAACACAAAUGUUUAAUAGUUAAAGUCACAUUAAUUGAAAUUUGAAAUUUCUCUCUUUAUCUGUUGAAAUCACUUUUUUCAGCUGCAUAAUUAAGGGAAGAAUUUGUCACUAUUUUAACUACAUAGAUACGUAUGAAUUGAGUUGUAUUUAACAUUCAUUGCAUCAAGUCAAAGUAUGUUUUACCCUGUACCAGCCUAACAACUACAAAUUUCUAUGUAGUAUCAGGUAGCAACAUGUCUAUAGAUAUUGAGGCUGUUCCUUUGUAGGUUUAUUGUGUAUAAAUAUUCCUUUGUACACUUUCUCUACCAGACUAUAAAAAGGGCCUUAGGACUCAAUCUCUGCAGCAUCAUAAUACUAAUAUAAUUCUUCCCUCCACCAAAUGAAAUGCUGAUGGUAACCUGUAGCUUUUCUCUGCUUUGGAUACUUUCUCUGAUGAUAAAGAUGGCACAGGGGUUCAGCAGUGAUAGGGCAGAACCUCAGAUAUGUCACAUGUACCUGAGUUAGGGUUGUAGUUCUGAGCUACGCUGUCUGACUGUGAAGCAGCACUGUUUGUAAUUAGGUACCUCAGUUGCCCAAAUGAGUUAUGGCACCUGAGCACAGGAAUUUCAGUGCUGUUUUCAGUAUGUGGAAUUUGAGUUAGUUUGUUUGUCAUAAAAUUCCUAGUGACUAAUUUUUUUCUUUCUUAAAAGAGAUAAGUAAUGUAUAUAGAACAAAGAUAUUAUACCAAAUUUGCUUUGUUUAUGUUGUUACACCUACUGAAGAAUUCCAAUUGAACUUCUGCUUGCAAAAGGACAAGUUUGUGUCUUUCAGUUUUUGAUUGAAUCUGGUGGUGUUAAUUAAGUGUAUAUGUGAAUAUUUAAAAUUGAAACUAUAUCUUUUGUUAUAAUUAAGGUGCAAAUGCUGGAGAUUCUAGCCUAGUACAGUGCACUGUGAAUACAAGCACCUAAUUUAAGUCUGUAAACAGCCAAGUUACUCCCACGUACGUAAGAUUUCAAAGCACAUUAUUCUCUCAGAAAUUUAUAAAGCACUGAAAAUUUGUUAAAAAGAUGAAGAAAUAUGAUUGUGAUGAUGCUGAGGGGUGUGAAGUAGCCAGACCAUGAUGGAUAAAUUGAAAACUCCUCAUAAUAGUGCAAAUCAUAAACUUUCUUUUGUGAUUUUUUUUCAGUAGGCUUUUAUAAAAGUCUCCUCUGAAGUGCCAUAGAUUUUUACAGAAACAUCUUCCAAAAUGUCUUUGUAAAACUUUCAUUUCCAUGCUCUCACUGUUAUUGAAUGGAAUUUAGUAGAUGGCAGUUUUCUCAUACUGUAACUUCCUUCUCGCUUUUUUUCUUUUUUUAGGAUAAAGCAAAAAAGAGAAAGAAGCACAAGAAGCAUAGUAAAAAGAAGAAAAAGAAAGCUGCUGGUUCAAAUUCAGAUUUGGAAUAGUAUUUAAAAAAAAAAAAAAAACAAAAGCAAGACUAUCAACAAAAGUGCAAUGACUGAAGGAAAUUUAAACUGUGAAAUGAUAACAAACUUUACCAAACUGCAUGAGUUUUCCUGUGUUCUAGAAAUAUUCCUAAUCUUUCAGUAGCCAGCCAGAUGCAGCUGUGCUGGGGAAGACCAUUGUUAUUGCCUGCUGCUUAAUACAUGAGGUACAACUUUUAUUAAAGUCCAGUAAGCAGUGUUAGAUGUUUGAAACAACGUAAGAUGGUAGUCCAGCUAAGAUGUAAAAUAUUGGAAAGUAAGAGUUAAACUUUUUAGAUACUUAAAGUAGUGUUUUAAAGCAUUAGUAAUAGUCUUUAUUUGUAAAUCAGGACAAAUAAAAUCCCAAAUUCAUCUUGUAGGUUUAUGUUA
Chrysolophus pictus (golden pheasant) is the source of this 2710-nucleotide long non-coding RNA. NCBI's taxonomy places the organism in Eukaryota, Metazoa, Chordata, Aves, Galliformes, Phasianidae. The record is from Ensembl.